CACACCUGUGAUUAACCUCUCACCUUUUCGGUUGCGGUUUUGGCCGCUUCCGCUUUUACAUGCAACCACGAAAAGUCUAGAAUGUGACGAGAACUAUAAAGUAACAACUUUCAACAACGGAUCUCUUGGCUCUCGCAUCGAUGAAGAACGCAGCGAAAUGCGAUAAGUAAUGUGAAUUGCAGAAUUCAGUGAAUCAUCGAAUCUUUGAACGCACGGUGGACUUGGACCGCUUGCGCUCCUUGGUAUUCCAUGGAGCAUGCCUGUUUGAGUGUCACGUAAACCCAUCAAUAUCACCCCUGCGAUGUAAGUCGCCUGCUGCCGGUAAUCGGCUCGUCUUGAAAUGCAUUAGCUGGCCUUUUAGAGUGCUGGGCGAACGGUGUGAUAAUUAUCUGCGCCGACUGCCCUGGGCCUCUUCAGCGGCGCUGCUUACAGAGCGGAGGAACCGUCCCUUGUGGACAACUAUUUUAAAGCUUUGGCCUCAAAUCAGGUAGGACUACCCGCUGAACUUAAGCAU
This 514-nucleotide ribosomal RNA is filed under the name Auricularia sp. Ap24. RNAcentral describes it as "eukaryotic LSU rRNA". The stretch from base 106 to 274 matches the Rfam family "5.8S ribosomal RNA". The record is from RNAcentral. Lineage: Eukaryota; Fungi; Basidiomycota; Agaricomycetes; Auriculariales; Auriculariaceae.